This 537-nucleotide long non-coding RNA is filed under the name Marmota monax (woodchuck). Lineage: Eukaryota; Metazoa; Chordata; Mammalia; Rodentia; Sciuridae. The record is from RNAcentral.
GCCCAGUGUGCUCUCCUCCCUCUCCUGGGACUUCCUUGUCUGCAGGGGCUCUGGGGCCUGCAGCUCCCAGGGGCUGGGCUUCUGAAGUUCAAGGCCCCUGAGAGCAGGUGGUAGAACAGGAACCUGGGCGAGUUAGUAAGCCAAGUCACUGGCCCAGGCCUGUCUCUGCCUCUGCUUCCCUGACGGUUAGCAGGGCUUUCUCUCUCCUUCCAGAGACACCCCAAGUGGCCCUGGCUUGUUCCCCUUUCUUCCUGGGCCCUCACUUCUGGGCUACUCCUCCCUGCCUCUGCUGCACCCCACUCCCCAGGCUGGUGGAGGAGAGCUUAUGUCCCAGGACCCCUGCUGAAUGUGUCCUUCCUGCAGAAGCCGUCCCCCACUCCAGCUUCUCAGAGAGGGUCGCUGCCUGCCCCAGCCUGGCCCUGGUGGGAGAUAGCUGGGCUUAUCUCUGGCUAGAUGGAGAUGUCCGGAGAACACUGAACACCCGCAGGGGAUUUUGUCUCUGCUGGAACCGCAAGGGCCUCUUACCCUGGAGGAGCU